GUCUGGCUGGCUCAGUCGGAAGAGCAUGAGACUCUUGAUCUCGGGGUUGUGGGUUCAAGACCCAUGUUGGACA
Non-coding RNA from Mustela lutreola (European mink), 73 nucleotides. NCBI's taxonomy places the organism in Eukaryota, Metazoa, Chordata, Mammalia, Carnivora, Mustelidae. The record is from the annotation of a RefSeq genome assembly.